AAAAGGGCGUUUGGUGAAUGCCUUGGCAGUAAGAGGCGAUGAAGGACGUGAUACUCUGCGUUAAGCCAUGAGGAGCUGAGAAUAAGCUUUGAUCCAUGGAUGUCCGAAUGGGGGAACCCACUUGAUAUUAUGUUAUUGUUACCCUUCGGGGUGCUCAAUAGCAUGGUAAACCAAGUACUUAUUACCUGAAUACAUAGGGUUUUAAGAGCAAACCCGGGGAACUGAAACAUCUAAGUACCCGGAGGAAAGGAAAUCAAUAGAUACUCCCCUAGUAGCGGCGAGCGAACGGGGACCAGCCGAGCUGAGAUUGUGACUAGAACGUGUUGGGAAGCACGGCCAUAGCGGGUGAUAGCCCCGUAUAGGAAGCAUGAUUAGACGUAUUAAGUAGGGCGGAACACGUGAAAUUCUGUCUGAACAUCGGAGGACCACCUUCGAAGGCUAAGUACUCCUUACUGACCGAUAGUGAACCAGUACCGUGAGGGAAAGGUGAAAAGCACCCCGACGAGGGGAGUGAAACAGUACCUGAAACCGAACGCCUACAAUCAGUCGGAGGCUCCUUGAGGGCUGACGGCGUACCUUUUGUAUAAUGGGUCAUCGACUUGGUCUCACGAGCAAGCUUAAGCCGUUAGGUGUAGGCGCAGCGAAAGCGAGUCUUAAUAGGGCGAAUGAGUUCGUGGGAUCAGACCCGAAACCGAGUGAUCUAGGCAUGAUCAGGCUGAAGAUAAGGUAACACUUAUUGGAGGGCCGAACCCACACCUGUUGAAAAAGGUCGGGAUGAAUUGUGCCUAGGGGUGAAAGGCCAAUCAAACUCGGAGAUAGCUGGUUCUCUGCGAAAUCUAUUUAGGUAGAGCGUCGACCGAAUACCCUCGGGGGUAGAGCACUGGAUGGGUAAUGGGGCCCCACAGGCUUACUGAUCCUAACCAAACUCCGAAUACCGAGGAGUACUAGUCGGCAGACACACUGCGGAUGCUAACGUCCGUAGUGGAGAGGGAAACAACCCUGACCUACAGCUAAGGCCCCUAAUUCAUGGCUAAGUGGGAAAGCAGGUGGGACGACCAAAACAACCAGGAGGUUGGCUUAGAAGCAGCCAUCCUUUAAAGAUAGCGUAACAGCUCACUGGUCUAAUUAAGUUGUCCUGCGGCGAAGAUGUAACGGGGCUCAAGCCAUGAGCCGAAGCUUAGGAUGCACAUAGUGCAUGGUAGCAGAGCGUAGUGUGAUAUAGUUUCUUUCCUCCUUAUCUUCCUUUGGGAGUGUUGGAGGAGUGAAACUUUCGAUGAAGCCGGCCUGUGAGGGAUCCGGUGGAGAGAUCACUAGUGAGAAUGAUGACAUGAGUAGCGACAAACAGUGUGAGAGACACUGUCGCCGAAAGUCCAAGGGUUCCUGCUUAAAGUUAAUCUGAGCAGGGUAAGCCGACCCCUAAGGCGAGGCCGAAAGGCGUAGUCGAUGGGAAUCAGGUUAAUAUUCCUGAGCCAGAUGGUAG
RNAcentral lists this ribosomal RNA (1480 nucleotides) under Nereida ignava. RNAcentral describes it as "bacterial LSU rRNA". It matches the Rfam family "Bacterial large subunit ribosomal RNA", at positions 13 to 1454 of the family's 2925-position model. The record is from RNAcentral. Lineage: Bacteria; Pseudomonadati; Pseudomonadota; Alphaproteobacteria; Rhodobacterales; Roseobacteraceae.